UUGUAAACAUUUAUAUUGACACAGGGAUUAUAUGCAAAUGUGGGUCUGCACUACACUAGUGUUUUGUGGCUUGCAUAACAGUCAGGUGGCACGCAUCCAUCACACAAGUUGAUUUUGAUAGAGUAAUUGAGGGAUAGAAAAAUAUGCAAGCUGUACCUACACCUAGAAGUGUAAUAGAAUUCUGUAUGCAGGACACUGCUGCAGGCAUGGGCACGAAGGUUUAGUUUAGGGUCCUGGUUCCGAGGGACUCCACUACUCCAGGCGCCAAAAACACAACAGACCAACAGACAGAUGUCUUCUUUUUGGGCCCUUGGUACUCACUGCGCUGAAAGCCGGGUGUUCCUAUUUCGGCAUAGCAGGCGCAGGUUUCUUAUUCAUACUCCUGUACAACGUGCGCGAUGGGUCCUGUGAUGGCACCCUCCCCUUCCCGCGUGGCGGCGAUUGAAAAUACUU
Molecule: long non-coding RNA, 453 nt
Organism: Photinus pyralis (common eastern firefly)
Lineage: Eukaryota; Metazoa; Arthropoda; Insecta; Coleoptera; Lampyridae
Exons: 3
Source: RefSeq, a predicted model, not a curated record